This 426-nucleotide ribosomal RNA is filed under the name Goniomonas pacifica. RNAcentral's name for it is "partial Bacterial large subunit ribosomal RNA". It matches the Rfam family "Bacterial large subunit ribosomal RNA", at positions 976 to 1401 of the family's 2925-position model. Lineage: Eukaryota; Cryptophyceae; Goniomonadida; Goniomonadaceae. The record is from RNAcentral.
CAUGGCAGACAGACGGCGGGUGCUAAGGUCCGUCGUCGAAAGGGAAACAGCCCAGACCACCAGCUAAGGUCCCCAAAUCACGACUAAGUGGGAAAGGAUGUGGGAAGGCCAAGACAACCAGGAGGUUGGCUUAGAAGCAGCCAUCAUUUAAAGAAAGCGUAACAGCUCACUGGUCAAGCGCUCCUGCGCGGAAAAUGUAACGGGGCUUAAGUGAUACACCGAAGCUGCGGAUUCGAUCUUUGAUCGAGUGGUAGCGGAGCGUUCCGUAGGCCGAUGAAGGUGGACCCGCGAGGGCCGCUGGAGGUAUCGGAAGUGAGAAUGCUGACAUGAGUAGCGAUAAAGAGGGUGAGAAACCCUCUCGCCGAAAGUCCAAGGGUUCCUGCGCAACGCUAAUCGGCGCAGGGUGAGUCGGCCCCUAAGGCGAGG